This 427-nucleotide ribosomal RNA is filed under the name uncultured Rhodocyclaceae bacterium. RNAcentral's name for it is "partial 16S ribosomal RNA". It matches the Rfam family "Bacterial small subunit ribosomal RNA", at positions 355 to 774 of the family's 1533-position model. Lineage: Bacteria; Pseudomonadati; Pseudomonadota; Betaproteobacteria; Rhodocyclales; Rhodocyclaceae. The record is from RNAcentral.
UGGGGAAUUUUGGACAAUGGGGGCAACCCUGAUCCAGCCAUGCCGCGUGAGUGAAGAAGGCCUUCGGGUUGUAAAGCUCUUUCGGCUGGGAAGAAAUCGUACGGGCUAAUACCCUGUGCGGAUGACGGUACCAGCAUAAGAAGCACCGGCUAACUACGUGCCAGCAGCCGCGGUAAUACGUAGGGUGCGAGCGUUAAUCGGAAUUACUGGGCGUAAAGCGUGCGCAGGCGGUUUGAUAAGAUAGGCGUGAAAUCCCCGGGCUCAACCUGGGAACUGCGCUUAUGACUGUCUCACUAGAGUACGGCAGAGGGGGGUGGAAUUCCACGUGUAGCAGUGAAAUGCGUAGAGAUGUGGAGGAACACCGAUGGCGAAGGCAGCCCCCUGGGCCGAUACUGACGCUCAUGCACGAAAGCGUGGGGAGCAAACA